This 495-nucleotide ribosomal RNA is filed under the name uncultured bacterium. Its description in RNAcentral is "partial 16S ribosomal RNA". It matches the Rfam family "Bacterial small subunit ribosomal RNA", at positions 29 to 506 of the family's 1533-position model. The record is from RNAcentral.
AUGAACGCUGGCGGCGUGCCUCAUCCAUGCAAGUCGAGCGAACAGACGAGGAGCUUGCUCCUCUGACGUUAGCGGCGGACGGGUGAGUAACACGUGGAUAACCUACCUAUAAGACUGGGAUAACUUCGGGAAACCGGAGCUAAUACCGGAUAAUAUAUUGAACCGCAUGGUUCAAUAGUGAAAGACGGUUUUGCUGUCACUUAUAGAUGGAUCCGCGCCGCAUUAGCUAGUUGGUAAGGUAACGGCUUACCAAGGCAACGAUGCGUAGCCGACCUGAGAGGGUGAUCGGCCACACUGGAACUGAGACACGGUCCAGACUCCUACGGGAGGCAGCAGUAGGGAAUCUUCCGCAAUGGGCGAAAGCCUGACGGAGCAACGCCGCGUGAGUGAUGAAGGUCUUCGGAUCGUAAAACUCUGUUAUUAGGGAAGAACAAAUGUGUAAGUAACUAUGCACGUCUUGACGGUACCUAAGCAGAAAGCCACGGCUAACUACGU